GCUUGGGUGGCUCAGUCGGUUGAGCACCUGACUUCGACUCAGGUCAUAAUCUCACGGUUCGUGAGUUCAAGCCCCGCGUCGGGCU
RNAcentral lists this transfer RNA (85 nucleotides) under Felis catus (domestic cat). It matches the Rfam family "tRNA". Rfam says of the family: Transfer RNA (tRNA) molecules are approximately 80 nucleotides in length. Their secondary structure includes four short double-helical elements and three loops (D, anti-codon, and T loops). Lineage: Eukaryota; Metazoa; Chordata; Mammalia; Carnivora; Felidae. The record is from Rfam by way of RNAcentral. RNAcentral also lists the same sequence under 2 other names.